This 1509-nucleotide ribosomal RNA is filed under the name uncultured bacterium. Its description in RNAcentral is "bacterial SSU rRNA". It matches the Rfam family "Bacterial small subunit ribosomal RNA". The record is from RNAcentral.
AGAGUUUGAUCCUGGCUCAGAACGAACGCUGGCGGCGUGGAUUAGGCAUGCAAGUCGUGCGAGAAAGGGGUGGCAACACCCCGAGUAAAGCGGCGAACUGGUGAGUAACAGGUGGGUAAUGUGCCCUGAAGUGGGGGAUAACACCGGGAAACCGGUGCUAAUACCGCAUGUGAUCUUUGGCUCUGCGGGGCUGGAGGUUAAAGCAGUAGUGCGCUUCAGGAUCGGCCCGCCCCCGAUUAGCUAGUUGGUGAGGUCAAGGCUCACCAAGGCUACGAUCGGUAGCUGGUCUGAGAGGAUGGUCAGCCACACUGGAACUGAGAUACGGUCCAGACUCCUACGGGGGGCAGCAGUCUAGAGGCUUCGGCAAUGGGGGCAACCCUGACCGAGCGACGCCGCGUGUGGGAUUGAAGGCCUUCGGGUCGUAAACCACUGUCAUAGGGGAAGAAUGCCCGGAUGGUGAAUCCGGGAGGGACGGUACCCUAGAAGGAAGCCCCGGCUAACUCCGUGCCAGCAGCCGCGGUAAUACGGAGGGGGCAAGCGUUGUUCGGAUUUACUGGGCGUAAAGGGUGUGUAGGCGGCCGCGCAAGUCUGGUGUGAAAUCUCCGACGCUUAACGUGGAGGGGUCACUGGAAACUGCGCGGCUCGAGUAUGGUAGAGGCAAGCGGAAUUCCUGGUGUAGCGGUGGAAUGUGUAGAUAUCAGGAAGAACACCGGUGGCGAAGGCGGCUUGCUGGGCCAUCACUGACGCUGAGACACGAAAGCGUGGGGAGCAAACGGGAUUAGAUACCCCGGUAGUCCACGCUGUAAACGGUGCGCACUAGUUGUGGGAGGUAUCGACCCCUCCUGUGACGAAGUCAACACAUUAAGUGCGCCGCCUGGGGGGUACGGCCGCAAGGUUGAAACUCAAAGGAAUUGACGGGGGCCCGCACAAGCGGUGGAGCAUGUGCUUUAAUUCGAUGCAACGCGAAGAACCUUACCUGGGUUUGACAUGGGAGUGAAAGUUCCCAGAGAUGGGAGCCUUUCCGCAAGGAACACUCUACACAGGUGCUGCAUGGUUGUCGUCAGCUCGUGUCGUGAGAUGUUUGGUUAAGUCCAGCAACGAGCGCAACCCUCGCCCUUAGUUGCCAUCAGGUAACGCUGGGAACUCUAAGGGGACCGCCUAGUUUAACUAGGAGGAAGGUGGGGAUGACGUCAAAUCAUCAUGGCCCUUACGUCCAGGGCAAGACACGUGCUACAAUGGCCGGUACAAUGGGAAGCGAGAUCGCGAGAUUAAGCCAAUCCCAUAAAACCGGUCUCAGUUCGGAUUGAAGUCUGCAAUUCGACUUCAUGAAGCUGGAAUCGCUAGUAAUCGUGGAUCAGCAUGCCACGGUGAAUACGUUCCCGGGCCUUGUACACACCGCCCGUCAAGCCAUGAAAGAUGGCAGUACCCAAAGUCGAUUCUCUAACCCGCAAGGGGAGAUUUCGCCUAAGGUAAGGCCAUUGAUUGGGGCUAAGUCGUAACAAGGUAUCC